AAGAAUCUAACAUAAGAAUCCCACUAUGAAAUAUCAUGUGAGGAACAUUUUCAUUAGAAUCAUCAGGGUAUUGUGAUUAAACCCUGAUUUUGACCAAACAGUGUGCCAAUUUGGCUAAAUUCAUGAACCAAACCAGACCACCGACUAACAUAUAUAAAAAUAGCAGAAGCCCAAUAGCCACUUGUUCCCACGGUCGGCGCGGUUAGAGUAGAAUAAUGUAAGACGCCGUCAGCCGGUGUGUGGUACCCCGUACCCAACACCUUCACCGACUAGCUGCUUCCCUUCGCACAUUUUGUAAUAAUAAAAAUUAAAAUAAGUGAGGAGACUGUUAGGGGUUUGGUUAGUUUGGUAUAAUUAGAGUGGGACCGUCAGGGGCCGGAUAUAGACGUUGAGUCACCGCUCCAUUCGAGUCAUUUUCGGAUUUUCCUAUAGCCCCGCCCCCCCUCUUUCUUUAAGAACCAGCCAGAAACGUCUUUCUUUCUUCUCUGCUCUCUGGUAUCCGGUUUCCUCAACCUUCUUCUUCUAUUCAAACCCCACGGCCGCCAGGGAAGACCCGGAGUCGUACGGAGAUGAUGGUAGAGUUUUUUCUUCUAGGGUGUACCGGAGUUGUUGUGUUCCUCCACGGAGCCAAUUUCUUCUUCCACGUUCUCUCCAACCACAUGGCCAUCCGAUCUCUCAGUUUCCUGGGAUUUGCUGGAUGGUAGUAGAUGGCGAGGAAAGAUGAAGAAUUGAAGGGAAGUCCAUGGUCGGUGGGUGAUGACACAUUGAAAGUCGGGGAAGGCACCGCCUGGCAUUAAGUUUUGUAAAUACUUUUGAGCAAAUAUUAAUAAUAUUAGUGACAUUAAGAAACAGAUGAAAUACAUUAGAAAUAAAUGGGAGGCUUUAUUCAGUGACUUGUAAUAAUCCAUCUGCACUUAAUCAAUUUCAGACCGCACGUGAUAUGGAAAUAAUAUUUGCUUAUCCUUUUAUUUUUUCAA
Molecule: long non-coding RNA, 977 nt
Organism: Vitis vinifera (wine grape)
Lineage: Eukaryota; Viridiplantae; Streptophyta; Magnoliopsida; Vitales; Vitaceae
Exons: 2
Source: RefSeq, a predicted model, not a curated record